AUGGCUGCUACCUACAUUCCGGUUAGCGUUGUGAAGCAUAAAUGAAAUAAACACGUAAUCGGUUGAUACACCCCGAAAUUCCACAGAUCAUGAGGAUAUAUUAUUUGUCUGCUUGUGACCUACCGUUAUCGAUCACCAGACCCGAGAGUCAACAUGUUUAUUUUACACAACGUUUUCACGAAACAGCAAACAUCUUACAAGCAGUAAAAAUGGAUUCUCAAGGAGGGGAAAAAAGGUCAAAACUAAGAAUAUCAAACAGGAACCUAAAAAGAGGAUUUCCACUCGGCUGACAAAGAUUGCUAACUAUAAGUUCACUGUGGAACCUAAAAAGAGGAUUUCCACUCGGCUGACAAAGAUUGCUAACUAUAAGGUUUGGAUACACUUUAGAUCUGAAAGUAAAUCAUUUUCAUGACUUUUUAUAUAGCUAAUUUACUACAUGUAUUUCGUGUUUUAUAAGUUGUCUGCUUUUUGUGCUUUGGAUUU
This is a long non-coding RNA of Oncorhynchus nerka (sockeye salmon), 483 nucleotides long. RefSeq lists it as uncharacterized. Lineage: Eukaryota; Metazoa; Chordata; Actinopteri; Salmoniformes; Salmonidae. The record is from RefSeq and is a predicted model, not a curated record. The transcript has 3 exons.